CAGCCGCCGCGGUAAAACAGAGGGUGCGAGCGUUAAUCGGAUUUACUGGGCGUAAAGCGCGCGUAGGUGGUUUGGUAAGAUGGAUGUGAAAUCCCCGGGCUCAACCUGGGAACUGCAUCCAUAACUGCCUGACUAGAGUACGGUAGAGGGUGGUGGAAUUUCCUGUGUAGCGGUGAAAUGCGUAGAUAUAGGAAGGAACACCAGUGGCGAAGGCGACCACCUGGACUGAUACUGACACUGAGGUGCGAAAGCGUGGGGAGCAAACAGGAUUAGAUACCCGCGUAGUCCCUGUCUCUUAUAC
This 301-nucleotide ribosomal RNA is filed under the name uncultured bacterium. Its description in RNAcentral is "partial 16S ribosomal RNA". It matches the Rfam family "Bacterial small subunit ribosomal RNA", at positions 509 to 807 of the family's 1533-position model. The record is from RNAcentral.